Molecule: ribosomal RNA, 440 nt
Filed under: uncultured bacterium
Lineage: Bacteria
Description: bacterial SSU rRNA
Rfam family: Bacterial small subunit ribosomal RNA
Source: RNAcentral
CCUACGGGGGGCAGCAGUGGGGAAUAUUGCACAAUGGGGGAAACCCUGAUGCAGCAACGCCGCGUGAGCGAUGAAGGCCUUCGGGUCGUAAAGCUCUGUCCUAAGGGAAGAAUACUGACGGUACCUUAGGAGGAAGCCCCGGCUAACUACGUGCCAGCAGCCGCAGUAAUACGUAGGGGGCUAGCGUUAUCCGGAAUUACUGGGCGUAAAGGGUGCGUAGGCGGCCCUUCAAGUCAGAGGUGAAAGGCUACGGCUCAACCGUAGUAAGCCUUUGAAACUGUAGGGCUUGAGUGCAGGAGAGGGGAGUGGAAAUCCCAGUGUGGCGGGGAGAUGCGUGGAGAUAGGGGGGAGAACAAGUGGCGAGGGCGGCUCUCUGGACUGUAACUGACGCUGAGGCACGAAAGCGUGGGGAGCGAACAGGAUUAGAUACCCUAGUAGUC